GACGAACGCUGGCGGCGUGCUUAACACAUGCAAGUCGAACGGAAAGGCCCUGCUUUUGUGGGGUGCUCGAGUGGCGAACGGGUGAGUAACACGUGAGUAACCUGCCCUUGACUUUGGGAUAACUUCAGGGAACUGGGGCUAAUACCGGAUAGGAGCUCCUGCUGCAUGGUGGGGGUUGGAAAGUUUCGGCGGUUGGGGAUGGACUCGCGGCUUAUCAGCUUGUUGGUGGGGUAGUGGCUUACCAAGGCUUUGACGGGUAGCCGGCCUGAGAGGGUGACCGGCCACCUUGGGACUGAGAUACGGCCCAGACUCCUACGGGAGGCAGCAGUGGGGAAUAUUGCACAAUGGGCGGAAGCCUGAUGCAGCAACGCCGCGUGCGGGAUGACGGCCUUCGGGUUGUAAACCGCUUUCGCCUGUGACGAAGCGUGAGUGACGGUAAUGGGUAAAGAAGCACCGGCUAACUACGUGCCAGCAGCCGCGGUGAUACGUAGGGUGCGAGCGUUGUCCGGAUUUAUUGGGCGUAAAGGGCUCGUAGGUGGUUGAUCGCGUCGGAAGUGUAAUCUUGGGGCUUAACCCUGAGCGUGCUUUCGAUACGGGUUGACUUGAGGAAGGUAGGGGAGAAUGGAAUUCCUGGUGGAGCGGUGGAAUGCGCAGAUAUCAGGAGGAACACCAGUGGCGAAGGCGGUUCUCUGGGCCUUUCCUGGCGCUGAGGAGCGAAAGCGUGGGGAGCGAACAGGCUUAGAUACCCUGGUAGUCCACGCUGUAAACGGUGGGUACUAGGUGUGGGGUCCAUUCCACGGGUUCCGUGCCGUAGCUAACGCUCUAAGUACCCCGCCUGGGGAGUACGGCCGCAAGGCUAAAACUCAAAGGAAUUGACGGGGCCCCGCACAAGCGGCGGAGCAUGCGGAUUAAUUCGAUGCAACGCGUAGAACCUUACCUGGGUUUGACAUGGAUCGGGAGCGCUCAGAGAUGGGUGUGCCUCUUUUGGGGUCGGUUCACAGGUGGUGCAUGGCUGUCGUCAGCUCGUGUCGUGAGAUGUUGGGUUAAGUCCCGCAACGAGCGCAACCCUUGUUCACUGUUGCCAGCACGUUAUGGUGGGGACUCAGUGGAGACCGCCGGGGUCAACUCGGAGGAAGGUGGGGAUGACGUCAAGUCAUCAUGCCCCUUAUGUCCAGGGCUUCACGCAUGCUACAAUGGCUGGUACAGAGAGUGGCGAGCCUGUGAGGGUGAGCGAAUCUCGGAAAGCCGGUCUCAGUUCGGAUUGGGGUCUGCAACUCGACCUCAUGAAGUCGGAGUCGCUAGUAAUCGCAGAUCAGCAACGCUGCGGUGAAUACGUUCCCGGG
This 1343-nucleotide ribosomal RNA is filed under the name uncultured bacterium. RNAcentral describes it as "16S ribosomal RNA". It matches the Rfam family "Bacterial small subunit ribosomal RNA", at positions 28 to 1378 of the family's 1533-position model. The record is from RNAcentral.